This 253-nucleotide ribosomal RNA is filed under the name uncultured bacterium. RNAcentral's name for it is "partial 16S ribosomal RNA". It matches the Rfam family "Bacterial small subunit ribosomal RNA", at positions 524 to 776 of the family's 1533-position model. The record is from RNAcentral.
UACGAAGGGUGCAAGCGUUACUCGGAAUUACUGGGCGUAAAGCGUGCGUAGGUGGUGAGUUAAGUCUGUCGUGAAAGCCCCGGGCUCAACCUGGGAAUGGCGAUGGAUACUGGCUCGCUAGAGUGCGGUAGAGGAGAGUGGAAUUCCCGGUGUAGCAGUGAAAUGCGUAGAUAUUGGAAGGAACACCAGUGGCGAAGGCGACUAUCUGGGCAAAUACUGACACUGAGGCACGAAAGCAUGGGGAGCAAACAGG